UACGUAGGGCGCAAGCGUUGUCCGGAAUUAUUGGGCGUAAAGAGCUCGUAGGCGGUUUGUCGCGUCGGGAGUGAAAUCCACUGGCUUAACUGGUGGCUUGCUUUCGAUACGGGCAGACUGGAGGUAUGCAGGGGAGAACGGAAUUCCUGGUGUAGCGGUGAAAUGCGCAGAUAUCAGGAGGAACACCGGUGGCGAAGGCGGUUCUCUGGGCAUGUCCUGACGCUGAGGAGCGAAAGUGUGGGGAGCGAACAGG
This 253-nucleotide ribosomal RNA is filed under the name uncultured bacterium. RNAcentral's name for it is "partial 16S ribosomal RNA". It matches the Rfam family "Bacterial small subunit ribosomal RNA", at positions 524 to 776 of the family's 1533-position model. The record is from RNAcentral.